RNAcentral lists this long non-coding RNA (1301 nucleotides) under Gossypium barbadense (sea-island cotton). Its description in RNAcentral is "long non-coding RNA (GBAR_LNC005003)". The record is from RNAcentral. Lineage: Eukaryota; Viridiplantae; Streptophyta; Magnoliopsida; Malvales; Malvaceae.
UGGAUGUAUAUUUAUUUAAAGAUGAAGGUUGCAAAGGAAUGAAGACAUAUAUUAUAUAAGAUCUCGCAAUUUCAAUAUAUAAAUUAUAUUUACAAAACAAAACAUUACGGAAAAAAAAAACUUUAAUUGAAGUUAUACUUUAAGUUCAAAGAUAAAAAGACACUCUAUAUGGCAUUUGAUAUUUUGUAAAAAAAUGAUUUUUAAUCAUUUUUCAACUGAAUUAAUAUCAAGAACUAAAAUAUAAUAUAAAAUCAUAGAUAAAUAUCUAGGGAGAUAACGUGAGUCAAACAGAGAAUGGUUUUUAAAGAGAGCUUCUACUUCAUCCCAAAACCAACAGAAAACAGCAAAUUCUAUGGCUACGGAGGAAGAGAAAGGAAAAUGUUAGAAAUUAAAAGAACAAUAAUCAUAACACAAAUUAAAGUUGAAAUAGUACAAGAUUUAAGCACAAAGGGCUAAAAUUAUAUCAAAGAGAAUUGAUGCACCUGUAUAGCUCGUUUUUCCCCUUGGAAUUUGGGUUUAAGAUCCCCAUUGGUCUCCAAAACCCCAGCAACAUUUUCCUUGUCAUUGCCAUUGCCAUUUCCAGCAUAAUUAGAAAAGCUGUUGUUUAAGUGUAGACGGAGUGCUAAUCAUCAUAUUUUCUCCCACUAAACAAAGUCAGACUGGGAAUACCACUGUGUCUAUCCCUAUAAAGAAUAUUAAAUGUGUAUGAAAGGACCAAUUUACCUCCUCCACAAAUCAACAACAGCAACAUUGGACUUCUGGUGUUGGAACUUGGAACCCUAGUAUAAUUUACACAACAUAAUUCACAACCUGAAAGCAUUAGGAUUCAACUCACAUAUUUGAUUCUCAAUAAGAAUGAAAACUAAUGAACUCUAUUUUAUUACUUCAGUAGAUAAUAUUUCAUCCUGCAUUCCUUAUAAUAUUUCUGGUUUAACACAAUGAAGAAAAUAGAUAAAAUAGAACCUACUUUUUUCCUCUAUAACAUUACAGCAAGAACCGAUAGCCAUAAUUGUAAACAAGAAUACAGAAAACCAAGUUCUAGUUAAUAAACAACUUCUAUGGAUCUAGCGAAAGAAUGGUUUCACAGUGACAAGAGAAAAGAGGAAAGAGGAAAGUUUUUGUCAACUAAAGUUGGAGAAUCUUUUUGUUCCAUCGAACUAUAAGAAAACAGAAACAAUAAAACACCAGUCUGCCGCGGGAUUUCAUGGCACUACCGCCCCUAUCACCACCUCUUCCACCACCUCCUCUUCCUCUCCCUCUUCCACCAUCACCUCUGCCCCUAAACCCACCACCACCACGGC